UACGGAGGGUGCAAGCGUUAUCCGGAUUCACUGGGUUUAAAGGGUGCGUAGGAGGGCAGGUAAGUCAGUGGUGAAAUCCUGGGGCUUAACCCCCAGACUGCCGUUGAUACUAUCGGUCUUGAAUGUCGUGGAGUGAGCGGAAUAUGGUCAUGUAGCGGUGAAAUGCUUAGAUAUGAACAUAGAACACCAAUUGCGAAGGCAGCUU
RNAcentral lists this ribosomal RNA (205 nucleotides) under uncultured bacterium. Its description in RNAcentral is "partial 16S ribosomal RNA". It matches the Rfam family "Bacterial small subunit ribosomal RNA", at positions 524 to 727 of the family's 1533-position model. The record is from RNAcentral.